CACGUAGGGCGCGAGCGUUGUCCGGAAUUAUUGGGCGUAAAGAGCUCGUAGGCGGUUUGUCGCGUCUGUCGUGAAAGCCCACGGCUUAACCGUGGGUCUGCGGUGGAUACGGGCAGACUAGAGGCAGGUAGGGGAGAAUGGAAUUCCCGGUGUAGCAGUGAAAUGCGUAGAGAUCGUAAGGAAGACCAGUGGCGAAGGCGGGUCUCUGGACAGUUCCUGACACUGAGGCACGAAGGCCAGGGGAGCAAACGGG
This 253-nucleotide ribosomal RNA is filed under the name uncultured bacterium. RNAcentral's name for it is "partial 16S ribosomal RNA". It matches the Rfam family "Bacterial small subunit ribosomal RNA", at positions 524 to 776 of the family's 1533-position model. The record is from RNAcentral.